This 253-nucleotide ribosomal RNA is filed under the name uncultured bacterium. Its description in RNAcentral is "partial 16S ribosomal RNA". It matches the Rfam family "Bacterial small subunit ribosomal RNA", at positions 524 to 776 of the family's 1533-position model. The record is from RNAcentral.
UACGGGGGGGGCAAGCGUUGUUCGGAAUUACUGGGCGUAAAGGGCGCGUAGGCGGCCUUCUAAGUCGGACGUGAAAUCCCUCGGCUUAACCGAGGAACUGCGUCCGAUACUGAAAGGCUUGAAUCCGGGAGAGGGAUGUGGAAUUCCAGGUGUAGCGGUGAAAUGCGUAGAUAUCUGGAGGAGCACCGGUGGCGAAGGCGGCAUCCUGGACCAAUAUUGACGCUGAGGUGCGAAAGCGUGGGGAGCAAACAGG